GACGAACGCUGGCGGCGUGCCUAACACAUGCAAGUCGAACGGAAAGGCCCUGCUUUUGUGGGGUGCUCGAGUGGCGAACGGGUGAGUAACACGUGAGUAACCUGCCCUUGACUUUGGGAUAACUCCAGGAAACUGGGGCUAAUACCGGAUAGGAGCUCUUGCUGCAUGGUGGGGGUUGGAAAGUUUCGGCGGUUGGGGAUGGACUCGCGGGUUAUCAGCUUGUUGGUGGGGUAGUGGCUUACCAAGGCUUUGACGGGUAGCCGGCCUGAGAGGGUGACCGGCCACAAGAGUACUGCGGUACGGCCCAGACGGCAACGGGAGGCAGCGGUGGAAAGCAUUACGGAGUAAGCGGAAGCCAGAGACGACGGCGUUGCGUUCGGAAAGACGGCUUACGGGGUAUAAACAGCUUUCGACUGUAAUGAAGAGGUAGUGACGGUAAUUAGUAAGAAAGCAACGGCUAACUACGUG
Molecule: ribosomal RNA, 468 nt
Filed under: uncultured bacterium
Lineage: Bacteria
Description: partial 16S ribosomal RNA
Rfam family: Bacterial small subunit ribosomal RNA
Source: RNAcentral